UACGGGGGGAGCAAGCGUUGUUCGGAUUUACUGGGCGUAAAGGGCGCGUAGGCGGCCACCGCACGUCGAUUGUGAAAUCUCCGGGCUUAACCCGGAAAGGUCAACCGAUACUGCGGGGCUAGAGUGUAGAAGGGGCAACUGGAAUUCUCGGUGUAGCGGUGAAAUGCGUAGAUAUCGAGAGGAACACCUGCGGCGAAGGCGGGUUGCUGGGCUGACACUGACGCUGAUGCGCGAAAGCCAGGGGAGCGAACGGG
RNAcentral lists this ribosomal RNA (254 nucleotides) under uncultured bacterium. RNAcentral describes it as "partial 16S ribosomal RNA". It matches the Rfam family "Bacterial small subunit ribosomal RNA", at positions 524 to 776 of the family's 1533-position model. The record is from RNAcentral.